AAACAUUAAGGAUCUCAGAAAAUGACCAAACAGCUUGAGAUUGUUCAAUUUCCUACAAUUCUUGUUCUACAAUUUUCCAAAAUUCAGGAGGUUGACCUUUCUCAACAAGAAUGCAGCUUUGAAAAACGAAGAAAUUUUGUUAGAUUCUGGGAUAAUUUUGACGGAUUGACUAACACUGAGCUAAAAAGGAAAAUUGGGGAUGAUACAUUGCGGCCAUAUCGGUCAUUUGGAGUCGUUGUUCAUUGGGGAAGCGAAAAAAGUGG
This is a long non-coding RNA of Saccostrea echinata, 263 nucleotides long. RefSeq lists it as uncharacterized. The transcript is spliced from 3 exons. NCBI's taxonomy places the organism in Eukaryota, Metazoa, Mollusca, Bivalvia, Ostreida, Ostreidae. The record is from RefSeq and is a predicted model, not a curated record.